AGGGCUAAUACCGGAUGUGGUUCCUAAAUUUCAUGAUUAAGGAAUUAAAGAUGACCUCUUCUUGAAAGUUAUUGUUUGGAGAUGGGCUUGCGGUCCAUUAGCUUGUUGGUAGGGUAACGGCCUACCAAGGCGAUGAUGGAUAGCCGACCUGAGAGGGUGAUCGGCCACAUUGGGACUGAGAUACGGCCCAGACUCCUACGGGAGGCAGCAGUAGGGAAUUUUGCGCAAUGGACGAAAGUCUGACGCAGCAACUCCGCGUGAGGGAUGAAUGCCUUCGGGUUGUAAACCUCUGUUGAGUGGGAAGAAAAAUCUUUGUGCUAAUAUCACAAAGACAUGACGGUACCAUUCAAGAAAGCUCCGGCUAACUACGUGCCAGCAGCCGCGGUAAUACGUAGGGAGCAAGCGUUGUUCGGAAUUACUGGGCGUAAAGGGAGCGCAGGCGGGAGAGUAAGUUAGAAGUGAAAUGUACCGGCCCAACCGGUGAUCUGCUUUUAAUACUGCUUUUCUUGAGUAUGGGAGAGGAAGAUGGAAUUCCAGGUGUAGCGGUGGAAUGCGUAGAUAUCUGGAAGAACACCAGUUGCGAAGGCGGUCUUCUGGCCCAAUACUGACGCUGAGGCUCGAAAGCUAGGGGAGCGAACAGGAUUAGAUACCCUGGUAGUCCUAGCCGUAAACGAUGGACACUAGAUGCUGGAGGCAUUUAGCCUUCAGUGUCGAAGCUAACGCAUUAAGUGUCCCGCCUGGGGAGUACGCUCGCAAGGGUGAAACUCAAAGGAAUUGACGGGGGCCCGCACAAGCGGUGGAGCAUGUGCUUUAAUUCGAUGCAACGCGAAGAACCUUACCUGGUCUUGACAUGGGAGUGAAAGCUUUUAGAGAUAAAGGCCCUUCCUUCGGGAACUCUCUACACAGGUGCUGCAUGGUUGUCGUCAGCUCGUGUCGUGAGAUGUUGGGUUAAGUCCCGCAACGAGCGCAACCCCUGUCCUUAGUUGCCAUCAGGUCAAGCUGGGAACUCUAAGGAGACUGCCUGGAUUAACCAGGAGGAAGGUGGGGAUGACGUCAAAUCCUCAUGGCCCUUACGACCAGGGCUA
Molecule: ribosomal RNA, 1085 nt
Filed under: uncultured Chitinivibrionia bacterium
Lineage: Bacteria; Pseudomonadati; Fibrobacterota; Chitinivibrionia
Description: bacterial SSU rRNA
Rfam family: Bacterial small subunit ribosomal RNA
Source: RNAcentral